UGGCCUCCCAUUUUCUCUCUCCUCUGUUCCACUUCUGCUUCUGAAUCUGCUUCUUCUUCAACUACAAGGGAAUGAUGAUAUGGUUAAUCCUGCUGGGCUGUACUGGGCUUGUCCUCCUCCUUCACGGAGCUAGUUUUUUAUUCCACCUUCUCUCCCCACACCUCACCCUUCGUUCUCUCAGUUUCCUAGGAUUUGCUGGGUGGUAAAGUGAAGACGACAAGAUGAAUAAUUCGCAGAGACAUGCUCGAAUGUUCUCACCAGAUUCUUUAAAUUACUCAGAUUCUGAUGCAGCUAGCUUGUAGUUGCUGCCGCUGAUGAUUUGUAAGGAUUUAAGAUUUAAUUGUACGUAGCAUUUAUAAUAAAGUUGAGAAAGAGCUUUCUCCUUCUUAUUUAGUUAUAUUGUCACGCGAGCUUCAAUAUAUGUAUAUAGAUAUAGAUAUAGACAUAGAUGCUUUUAGCAUUGGCUGUUCUAGGAAGUACGAAGCAUAGAUCACGAUACAGGUGAUAUGAUCUACUCUGCUAAAUUUCGUAAUUAGAAGCUUUCUAUGAUCUGCCCUGCUAAAUUUCGUAGCUACAAUCUUUCUGCUACGGCACAAUUUUCCAGAUCAAGAAUGUGACGAAGAAUGAUUGGAGGACGACGAAAAUGUUGAAUCUGCAGGAUAAUGGUUGCGCCAAUCGUGGGAGAGAUAAGAACAAAUGUAUUGCCUCACAUGAACAUGUAGGGAUGAUAAUUAAUAUGACGAAAGUCACGUGGUUGAAGAAAGUUAAUUAAUUACAUAAGCAGAUAUCCACUUUUCACAUGUAUUUUUUAGUUA
Long non-coding RNA from Prosopis cineraria, 815 nucleotides. RefSeq lists it as uncharacterized. The record is from RefSeq and is a predicted model, not a curated record. NCBI's taxonomy places the organism in Eukaryota, Viridiplantae, Streptophyta, Magnoliopsida, Fabales, Fabaceae. The transcript is spliced from 2 exons.